GCUGUCCAGGUGUGUAAAAUACACCUGUUAGCAAGGGCCGGGCAAGACCGGUGCCAGCCGCCGCGGUAACACCGGCGGCCCGAGUGGUGAUCGUGAUUAUUGGGUCUAAAGGGUCCGUAGCCGGUUUGGUCANUCCUCCAGGAAAUCUGACANCUCAACUGGUANGCUUUCGGGGGAUACUGCCUAACUAGNAACCGAGANAGGAAANAGGUACUACNNGGGAAGGAGUGAAAUCUUGUAUUCCCUGAGGGACCNCCUGUGGNGAANGCNUCUUACCNGAACGGGUUCGACGGGAAGGGACGAAGGCUGGGGGCACNAACCGGAUUANAUACCCGGGUAGUCCCANCCGUAAACNAUGCUCGCUAGGUGUCAGGCAUGGCGCGACCGUGUCUGGUGCCGCAGGGAAGCCGUGAAGCGAGCCACCUGGGAAGUACGGCCGCAAG
Molecule: ribosomal RNA, 443 nt
Filed under: uncultured bacterium
Lineage: Bacteria
Description: partial 16S ribosomal RNA
Rfam family: Archaeal small subunit ribosomal RNA
Source: RNAcentral